RNAcentral lists this ribosomal RNA (755 nucleotides) under Bacillus subtilis. Its description in RNAcentral is "bacterial SSU rRNA". It matches the Rfam family "Bacterial small subunit ribosomal RNA", at positions 35 to 774 of the family's 1533-position model. Lineage: Bacteria; Bacillati; Bacillota; Bacilli; Caryophanales; Bacillaceae. The record is from RNAcentral.
GGGUGUGGGGGUGCUUAAUACAUGCAAGUCGAGCGGACAGAUGGGAGCUUGCUCCCUGAUGUUAGCGGCGGACGGGUGAGUAACACGUGGGUAACCUGCCUGUAAGACUGGGAUAACUCCGGGAAACCGGGGCUAAUACCGGAUGGUUGUUUGAACCGCAUGGUUCAAACAUAAAAGGUGGCUUCGGCUACCACUUACAGAUGGACCCGCGGCGCAUUAGCUAGUUGGUGAGGUAACGGCUCACCAAGGCAACGAUGCGUAGCCGACCUGAGAGGGUGAUCGGCCACACUGGGACUGAGACACGGCCCAGACUCCUACGGGAGGCAGCAGUAGGGAAUCUUCCGCAAUGGACGAAAGUCUGACGGAGCAACGCCGCGUGAGUGAUGAAGGUUUUCGGAUCGUAAAGCUCUGUUGUUAGGGAAGAACAAGUACCGUUCGAAUAGGGCGGUACCUUGACGGUACCUAACCAGAAAGCCACGGCUAACUACGUGCCAGCAGCCGCGGUAAUACGUAGGUGGCAAGCGUUGUCCGGAAUUAUUGGGCGUAAAGGGCUCGCAGGCGGUUUCUUAAGUCUGAUGUGAAAGCCCCCGGCUCAACCGGGGAGGGUCAUUGGAAACUGGGGAACUUGAGUGCAGAAGAGGAGAGUGGAAUUCCACGUGUAGCGGUGAAAUGCGUAGAGAUGUGGAGGAACACCAGUGGCGAAGGCGACUCUCUGGUCUGUAACUGACGCUGAGGAGCGAAAGACCCCGCACACC